AUUACUGUUAAAAGGCUUCCUCUUCAUUACAUUUUAAUUGUUAUAUUACCGACAAUUCUUACUGCAGUAUUAACGUUUAUUGCAUUUUUUCUACCGCUGAAAUCUGGAACCAGACUUGGAUAUAUUGUUACAGUGGUACUGGCUUUAGUGGUAUUAUUGACAUUAUUUGCAGACACAAUCCCUUCUGCUGCAAAAUUUCCUUCAAUUCUAGUGGCAGUAUUUACGGUAACAUUAGGAAUGGCCUUUCUUUUGAUUGUCAUAACGAUAUUUGUCAUGAGACUUUACAAUAAACCAAAACGCGACGUUGCUCCAAAAUGGAUGCACUCCAUGGUAAGUAAGAUUCGGAGGUUAAAAGUAAAAUUAAAGUUAAAGUUAAAGUGCAGAGCAAGAAAAAUAAAACAUCUUGAACAAAAUAAGGCUAUAGAAGAUGACCGACCGACAGAAGACAUCGACAGCGUAGAGAAAAGUACGCCAUUAAAACCAUACAGCAACCAAGAGCUGGCAGAAUUCUUUGACAAUUUUUUGUUUGUUGCUUUUACAGUUUUAUAUAUUUUGAUUCUUGCAAGUGCACCAGUUGUAGCGAUCAUAUGGAGAAAUAAUUCUAUAGCAAACUAGUGUCGUUAUGGCACAUUUUAAUUUUGUGUUUCGGUCAUCAUACAUCCAUUCAACCACUUAGUUUUUGUAUAUGUUGCUUCACCAAUAAUCAUGUGUAUUAAGUAUUAAUUCGUACAUUUUUAACAGAUUUAUAUAGGUACAACACAAUAGUACACAUAGAUUAUUGGUUCUUCAAUAUUUUAAAUGGUUAUCUCUCUACGGGCAUGACGAAUUUAACUGUCAAAAAUGUACUGAUCGCCAUUGAAAGUAUGUAACAGAAACAUGAAUUAUCAAGUAUUAUGUCAUCUUUUGUAUUCUUGAAUUUUGUUUAAUAUUGUUCAAAUUUGUUAUUUGCCCAAAAUGUGCUUCUAAAGCAAUUAAAUUGGUACCGUUUAUUGUUUUAUUUUGGUCUACCAAGCUUUUAAUAUCUUAUUACACUGUAUAUGUGUUGCUAAUUGUUGCUUAUUUAUAUUCUCGUUAAAACUCUAAUUGACAUGUUCCCAGUACUAACAAUCAUACUACUACUUAUGUUUAUGUAAUGUUUAUUGUCAAAUUUAAUAUUUCGGGAUCAUAUGCUAGACACGAUAUAUAAAUUCGCAGCCCGUUAUUGAAUUGUUUAUUGUUUUUUUUUUAAUUUGUUGUAUAUAUUCUAUUUUUCUAAUAGUGCUUUCUUAUGAUUAGAUAUUUAACACUGAUUAAAUAAAAAAAGAACAUAUCUUCAACAAAAAAAGAUAUAAUGUCAAGGUGAAACGUUCAACUGCAGCAGACUCGGUAGAUAGUAUAACUAUAAUACAAAAUAUUUAUUGUAAAAAGUUUAGAACUUUCCAAAUACUUUAUUUGUAUUUGAAAGGAUUUAUUGAAAUUCACAGGUUUAGACAGAAGUAAAGGGGACAGCUGCCUUUCCCGACACUAGAAAGCAAAUGGAAAGCAAAGGUGUAAUAAUUGUAUAACAUUAAUAGUCUUUUUACUGUUUUUAUUAAUUACCAUUUUGAGCUUGUAUUUUUAGCUGAAAUAAAAUGCUUUGGCCACGA
Molecule: long non-coding RNA, 1625 nt
Organism: Mytilus californianus (California mussel)
Lineage: Eukaryota; Metazoa; Mollusca; Bivalvia; Mytilida; Mytilidae
Exons: 2
Source: RefSeq, a predicted model, not a curated record